Chlorocebus sabaeus (green monkey) is the source of this 4179-nucleotide non-coding RNA. Lineage: Eukaryota; Metazoa; Chordata; Mammalia; Primates; Cercopithecidae. The record is from RefSeq and is a predicted model, not a curated record.
AAAAAAAAAAAAAGCAAAAAACAAAUCUCAAAUUUUCCUGAGCUCCCUCACAAGGAUGUCAGUGAUUUUUAUAACCUUCACUCAAAUCCUCUUGUAUCUUUGUUUAAUCAGGAUUAACACAAAUUUGUCCAAUCUCAGAAAUGCCUGAGAAUUACAAUAUGGAUAUUUCUGAAAGCAUCAUUUACCAUACAAAAGAGACUAAGUCUUGCUAGUGAGGGAAAAUAAUUAUAUCAAGUGAUCUUGUUGCAUGUCUGUUUUUAUGCAUACUUAUAUGCAUGAAUUUAGAAAUAAAUCAUUUUGUAUACAUUACCUCAUUCAAUCUUCACAACAAUGCCAUGCAAUAAAUAUGAGAGAUACAAUUACCCCAAUUUUUACGCAUGAAAGAACAGAGGAAGAAGAGAAAUCAAUAGAGAUGACUGGGAGUGGAUGAUCACUCAUUCAUUUAUCCAUUUUUUCAACAACCAUUUGUAAAUAAUUAUAUGUGUCACAUUAUAGAAAGAUACAGCCACAAAAACAUUCUUCUUAAAGCCUAUACCUUAAUGGUGGUAGCUUCCAGUUAAAAAUAUAAAUGUUUUGAUAUAGACAUCUGUGUUCAAAGAGUAUACAGCCCUACUUUAAAGGUUGGGGAAUAUCUCCUUGGGGAACUCACAUUUCAGCUGAGACAAGGAAUAAGUAGAGUUAGCCAAAUGAAGAGAAAGUGGGAUGGGUAUCCUAGGAGAAGGAGUAGCAUGUCCCAAGGACCAGAGAUGAAUAAGGACAAACAGCAAUUAUCAAGAAACCAAAGAAUGUUAGCACGAGGAGUGUAAAGUACAAGGUAGAAGAUGGCAAGACAUGAGUCUAGAGAGUUAGACAAAUGACCAAAACUAUAAAGGAGCUUGUAAAUCAUUGUGAAUAGCUUGGAAUUUAUGUUAAUCCUACCAGAAAGGCAACUAGAGCAGCAUGAAAAACUAGAACAGUAAAAUAUUUUGAAGGUCACGGGCCAGGGAAAGUUUUAAGACUUUAAGAGUUAACCAAAUUAAUCCUUCAAAGAAGCCCAAAAAUAAGAAAACUGAGAAUACGUCAUUUGAGACAUCAUGGAUGACCUUAAAAUUUCCAUUUUGGUGGUAAAGGUUGAAUACAAACCCAUGAAUAACUGAAAGAUAAGGAAGUAUAAGCAAAGGGGUGUAGACGGUGGUUUGAAAAGCCUACCUCACCUAUUGCUGGAGUUGGUAGCAGGGUCAAAUAAAAAUUUUUCAAGAUCAAAAAAUCUAAACAUGUUUGAAGAUACAGAAGAAGAAUGGACUAUAAAGGCAGAAAUUUAAAUUGUCGCAAAGUCAUCAAAGACUAAGAAAGUGGGAUGCAUAGGAAAUGUUAGAACUAAAUGCUGAGUUGAGCACAAAGCCUCAGAGAAAGAUCUGUAUGAAUAUUUUUAAAGCCCAAGUACCAAAGUUAAUCCUAUUCAGUGUCUCCUCCCUGACUGCUUAAUCUAUAAUAACAUUCCUGAAAAGCUUUAUCCUUUUAUCACUUGGUUUUUCCCUAGUGGGACGUUUUCAUGUUGGAGCCAUGAUUAGACUUUAAGUUCCCAAGUUUAUCAAUCACAGGGCAAUAUCUAGAGUUACAGUUACCUCUAUGACAGACACUUUUAUAGGAACAAAACAAAUCUAGGCUACCUAUCAACAUAUCAAACUUAUAAAGAUCGUAAUUCUCUUUUUCAGAUGAGAAACUGAAGUUCUAAAACAUGAUCUUUGCUGCUUGCCAUAGAGAAUUUCUAAUCAAGUCACUGUUCUAUACUCUAUCUAAAGUUAGAUUUUAUAGUCCCAAAGUUGGAAAGAUAUGGCUGAAACUUUCUAAAAUUAGUCAGUGUUCCAGAAGAUGAAAGGUAUAUAAGUGAGUUGUUAAGUUACAUAUUCUUGGGAUAUAAAAAGACAACUGCUAUGGUCUGAAUGUGUGCUCCAAAAUUCAUGUAUUAGAAACUCAAUUCUCAGUACAAUAGUGUUGAGAGGUGGGGCCUUUUGGAGAUGCAUAGUUCAUGAGGGUUCUGCUCUCAUGCAUGGAUCAAUACCACUAUAAAAAGGGCUUACAAGACUAGGCACAAUGGCUCACAUCUCUAAUCCCAGCACUUUGGGAGGCCAAGGCAGUAAGAUCACUUGAGACCAGGAGUUCAAGACCAGGCUGGUCAAUACAGCUAGACCCCAUCUCUAUUUUUUAAAAAGAAAGAAAGAAAGAAAGAAAAAAGACUUACAGUGAUGAGUGUACUCUCUUUUGCCAGUGAGGAUGUAGCAAGAAGACCCACAACAGAUGCCAGCACCUUGAUCUUGGACUUUCCAGAUCCCAAGACUGUGAGAAAUAAAUUUCUGUUCUUUAUAAGGUACCCAGUCUGUAAUAUUCUGUCACAGCAGCACAAAUGGACUAAGACAUAAAUUGGUACCAGGAGCAUAAAUGAAUUAAGACAGUAAUUAUUUGCCACAACAAAUACCUACAAACAGGGAAACAGCUUUGGAACUGAGUAAUGGGUAAAGGCUAGAACAGUUUUGAAAUAAAUACUGGAAAGAGUCUGUAUUGUAAGUGGAGCAGCAUUAACAGCAGUUCUGGUGAGGGCUCAGAAGAAAAGAGUUGUAGGGAAAGUCUGAAUCUUCUCAGAGCUUGCCUAACUGGUCAUGAACAAUGUUGGACAGUAAAAGUUAUUCUCAUAAAGUCUGAGAACAAAAUCAGGACUAUCUUAUUGGAAACUAGGGAAAAAGUCAUCUUUGUUAUAAAGUGGCAAAAAACUUGACUGAAUUAUGUCUAUGUCCUAGGACUUUAUGGAUGUCAGAACUUUAGAGCAAUGAACACAAAGCUGUGUUCAUCAAACCCAUGAAGACACAGUGGCCUGAGAUCUUGGGGACCCAAUCCCCACACCAGCAUGUCCAAGAGAUCAACCACCUCACCCAACACUGUAACUCGCUUCCUGGCCUAUUGACUCAGAGGCAUGAGAAAACCAAAGUGACCAGAAGUUUCAUGCGGGGAAGGCAAAUCCAUAUCCAGAGUACAUGUCUCUUCCAGUAAGAAAAAAAUGCUGUCCCCUCCAUGAAGAAGCAGUCCAAUGUAAUCAACCUGCUACCAGGUAAUUAGCUGAUCAUCCAAGGGGAAUAGUACUGUAUCAAGGGUUCAGUGUUGGUCUCUGCUGCUGGCAUAUUGGGCAUUCAGUUGUGGCUGUAGCCAAAUCAGCCUUAGUGAGUGGAAGUCCAUGUUGCUGAGUCCAUGCACAGCCUCCAUCCCUGCCACCACAGCCACUUUGUUUCCAACCCAUUGGGUGAUCACAAAGGUGGCUGAAGAAAGAGAUUGACUGGUAUCUACAGAAAAGGUCAUCCUAUCCACCUGAUUAUUAAAUUCCUCCUCUGUGGAUGUCACCCUUUGAUGAGCAAUCACAAAGGACAGAAAUGAUUCAUUGCCCAUUUAGAGAGGUCUAUCCACAUACCCUUCCCCCAGUUUCUUUGUCACCAAUUUUCCAACCACAUUUCUUUCAAGUCCCUGACUAUCCAGCCAAACCAUGGGCUACUUUCCACGAAUACAUAUAUAAUCUCACAUCUGGCCAUUUCUACACCCAACCAAAGUGAAUAACCAGGUGGAAGAAUUUUUCUUCACCACUGUUCUCCAGGGCAAUGUCCCAGAGAGGGGUAUGCAGCUGUCCACUUUCAGGCAGUGCCUGCAUAUCAUGCAGAACCAUUUGUAAAUAAGGACCUACUCUUUGCUUUCCCAGUCAACUAAAACACCCUCACAGAGACACACAGAGAUAAUGUCUUACUAGGCCAUCUGGGACUCCCUUAGCCCAGUCAAGCUGACACAUCAAGUUAACUAUCACACCAUAUUUUAUUUCUGCUCUUCUCUGCAUAUCACUUUUAUCUUUAUGUCCUACCCAGACUGGCUUUAACUGCAUCUCGCUCAAUUUACAGGGAGAAGAUGGGCUUCCCCAUAGCCCCCAAAUGUUUAUCUUCUCCAGCCGAGAGACCAUCUCAGAAUAGUCAGAAUAGUUAAUCCUGGAAAAAUCACCUCUAACUAAGAGUAGGCUCACAUGGUGAAAAUGAGACUGCUGAGUUCCAGCUUUAUAGAUAAGCAAGUCCAAUAAGGAAAUCAUUACAAGCUUAACAGAAAUCCCAAUACUUUCUGUCAUUUCUAUCAUAAUCAUUAAAUUCCGAUAAUUCUAUGUCACACAUUCUUUUU